RNAcentral lists this long non-coding RNA (650 nucleotides) under Heterocephalus glaber (naked mole-rat). Its description in RNAcentral is "lncRNA (ENSHGLG00000038420.1)". The record is from RNAcentral. Lineage: Eukaryota; Metazoa; Chordata; Mammalia; Rodentia; Bathyergidae.
GCAAGAAGGAGGCGGCGGCGGCAGCGGCCGGAGCUGGAGGGGGAGGAGGGGAGGAACCUGAUCCUCCGGUAGCGAAGGGCUGGAGGCAAACACCGACCUCCCCCAGAGCAGCCCGGGAGUAGGGAGGGCUGUGCUACCCCGAGGGGCCCUCCCGGCGGGCAGAGGAAUUCAAUGCCCAGACUCUGAACAGUGUUUUGGUGUCACCCACACAUGCAUUCCUCCUGACUCUCCAGAAGCUACUGGACUCAUAACUCAUACCUGAGACCAUGAGAAUUGGAAUAAAAUUUUCUUGGUGGAUAUCCACAGUAGCUCAAGAACUGCAAUAAACCCUGAUAUUAACAACUGAAAGGCCAGGGAUUUAGCUCAGCGGUUCCGGCACCUGCCUUGCAAGCCCAAGGUCCCAAGUUUGAUCCCUGGUACCAAAAAAAAAUUGAAAAUAUUUUAACAUCUGGUUUAUCUGCAAUACUACAGAAUCUCACUGCAUUGUCCAGGUUGUCCUUGAACUUGAGAUCCUCAUCCCUCAGCCUCUGGAAUAACUGUGACUAACGUUGUGCAUCACCACACCCAGCUUUAUUUACUUAUUUCAAAAUACUUCAGUAUUUUGCUUUUGUAAUUUAGAAAAUAUUUUAUUUUUUAAAAAUUUAUAUUAG